RNAcentral lists this ribosomal RNA (300 nucleotides) under Triticum aestivum (bread wheat). Its description in RNAcentral is "partial small subunit ribosomal RNA". Lineage: Eukaryota; Viridiplantae; Streptophyta; Magnoliopsida; Poales; Poaceae. The record is from RNAcentral.
AUGGGGUUGGGCGCUUGGUGCCGGCGGUGGCUGGACCUCCUGUGCGUCGUCCUCCUCCCGCCGCUCGGCGUCUACCUCCGCCAUGGCCGCUACUCCACGGGGUUCUGGAUCAGCGUGCUGCUCACCAUCCUCGGUUACCUCCUGUUAUUUCUCGAGGUCCACUUCAUGGGCUACGCCUACUGCGUCGUCUACGCCGUCUGGGUCCUCGUCUACGUCUACCGUGACGGCCUCCCCCAUAACGGCGACGACGAUGAUGACGAGUCCCCAUGUGCCACCGCCUCCUACGUCUUCGUUGCCUGA